UCCCUGGAGGACUAGUGGUUAGGCCUCGGUGCUUUCACCACCCUGGUCCGGGUUCAAUUCCAGGCCAGAGAA
Molecule: non-coding RNA, 72 nt
Organism: Pangasianodon gigas (Mekong giant catfish)
Lineage: Eukaryota; Metazoa; Chordata; Actinopteri; Siluriformes; Pangasiidae
Source: the annotation of a GenBank genome assembly